ACAUCAUUGAGAGGUUCUACAUUCUAAAGCAUAACCCUUGAAUCCAUAAUUCAAAUUCAAGGUGGAGUUAAAAGUUAAGUCUUGAGAGUUCUUUCAAACAUUUUGAGAAUGUCCCUUUGAGUCUUUUUUAGGAGACUUCUACAACUUCUAGUAACUUGUUUCAAGACUCGAGCAAGUGAAUAAGAGGAUGAGGAAAAUGUAUUCAUGAGUCUACUUUGUCAUCACGAGAUCUUUC
This 235-nucleotide long non-coding RNA is filed under the name Solanum tuberosum (potato). RNAcentral's name for it is "long non-coding RNA (STUB_LNC010622)". Lineage: Eukaryota; Viridiplantae; Streptophyta; Magnoliopsida; Solanales; Solanaceae. The record is from RNAcentral.